CUAAUUAGCUUCCUUACACUAAUUGAUGAACAGGUCGUACUCGUUAGUUCAGCCGGUGUCUUACUCUCCCUCCUUUUCUUUCUCUCUACUCGUGCACGUGCGCACCCAGCAUGCCUCAUAACAUGACACAUAAAUUAAUAAAACUUAUAAACAAAAUACAACUUCUUUUUAAAUAUUCUGUCUCCCACACUGCUUGGGAAUAAUCCUGCACUGAGACCUACAGUAUGUGGGUGAUAUAGACUCUGGUCAAAUCUCUUCAGGUGACUUUAGAUUUCCAGAUUUGUGUUAGUGAUCAGAAGUUCAGGAGCAGAGUUGGGAAGCAAUGAGAAACAUGAUGAAGAAAUUGAGUCCUGAAACAGCUGAUGAACAGAGAGAACUCCUCACUGAGUGGAGAACCUGAAUCACUUCUUUACACCAGAAACAUCAGCAACUUACAGCCAGUUAAAGCAGCUUUCAUUAUUUUAUAGCCAUGUUUGAAAUAUUUUUGUUCUGCAGCCAGAAGGUUGGAACUGUUUCAGUCAGCUGUUUAAAUUUAUCAAUGAUCACUUUUUAUUGGGAAUAUUAGAAAUGAAGAAAAUUAUUAAAGCUCGACUGAAGUUCUGAAUGUAAAUUUUGCAUAUGCAUUUAGUAAGGAAGAAAACUGUGUGUGUGUGUGUGUGUGUGUGUGUGUGUGUGUGUGUGUGUGUGUGUGUUAUAGUAAAAUAGUGAGGGACAGGGUGAUAACAUGUAGUGGAGUUAGUGUUACCAACCAAAAUAUUUAAUUCCUCUUGCUAUUCCUGUAACUAUCUACAUAAUAAUAGCGUGUGUUUUGUUAGCAACAGGCUAGCCUGCUAAUAUUACUGAUCUUUAUGAUGUAUUACAUUCUCUAAACUGUAGGUUUGUCUUAUAAAGCAGCUAAUGUUUCUGUGCUAAUGGAUCUAAAUUAGUAACUGCUAUAAACAAAAUCAAAAAAAUAAAAUCCUGUGCUUUUUAUUA
Molecule: long non-coding RNA, 975 nt
Organism: Silurus meridionalis
Lineage: Eukaryota; Metazoa; Chordata; Actinopteri; Siluriformes; Siluridae
Exons: 2
Source: RefSeq, a predicted model, not a curated record